CUGAAACAGCCCUCCUGGCUCCUUGUCACUCAAAGGAAAAGGCAAACUCCUCAAGACUGCACAUAAUGCCCACCUUCCCAACCAGCCUCUCCUACUGCCACUCUCUCUCCUACACCCUACCUUCCAAACCCUACUUGGGGUUCACCCUCACAUGCUGGAGUUUUCCCAUCUCUGAGACUUCAUUCAGGCAGUUCCUUCUGGCUUCGGAGGCUUCUUUGUUCCUAAAGUUCAUACUUUAAGACCUAGCUGAAAUAUCAAGGCUUCCUGGACUCUGCAGGUGACACGAGCCACUGUGCUCCUGGAUGCUUCAGAACCUGUGCAGAUCUCUGUCUUCACUCCUACUAUGGCAUCUCCUAGCAUGUUCUACACUGAGCUCCACUGGGCCUUGCAUGUCAGUAUCCCGAAUUCUGAAUGAAGCUUGGAACAUGGGAGGUGCAUCCACUAACAACAUGAAGAAUGAAGACAUGUAUUGACUACCUUUGACAAAAGUAUGUCAAAAGCAAUACAUCUUACUAGUGGAGCGAAGACACUGCAUGCUGACAAAGGUGAUCUCAGAUGUGAGGUCGAUGGUGCGCCAUGCAAUCAGCUUGCUGAGUGAGCCUACUUAUGCCCCAUCCCGGGGGCCUAGGGUAAGAAAAGUGCCAAGCGAAGCUGAGGAUCAGACUAAAGCUGGAAGGUGAGUCAAAGCUUGAGUCCCUCAGCAUUACCCUGCCCAGGCAGCAACUUCAGCCUCAUGGUCUUUUAGCCCUAAAACUUAGGACUAGCUCAGUGGGAGUUUUACAUUCCUUGGCUUGACAAAUGAAAAAGGUAUUGGUAGUCAGAGGGGAAAAAGGCUAAAAUAACUCAAAGUUCUAUCUGAAUCCAUGUGGAGGGUCAGGAAAAAUGCAUGGGUUUGGGGAGCCAGAAAGACCCCAGAAAUCCUCCUAACUUCCGAUAUGAACUUAGGCGAGCAUCUCACCUAUCUGCACCCCAGUUCCUUCAUUUGUAAAGUGGAGGGAAUAACAUCUACCUCAUGGGACUGUGACAAGUUACAAGUGAGCUCGUAUAACAUGAAG
This 1055-nucleotide long non-coding RNA is filed under the name Homo sapiens (human). RNAcentral describes it as "non-protein coding lnc-C8A-1:7". The record is from RNAcentral. Lineage: Eukaryota; Metazoa; Chordata; Mammalia; Primates; Hominidae.